This is a long non-coding RNA of Limulus polyphemus (Atlantic horseshoe crab), 278 nucleotides long. RefSeq lists it as uncharacterized. Lineage: Eukaryota; Metazoa; Arthropoda; Merostomata; Xiphosura; Limulidae. The record is from RefSeq and is a predicted model, not a curated record. The transcript is spliced from 3 exons.
UGUCUUUUAUUUGUUUAGCGUCCAAGAUGCUGAUGGAGGCUUCUUUGAAAAUUUCACAGCGUUGUCGUGGAAACAGGAAAAUAGACGUUUACAGGCGGCAAGAGCGCGUGAAGCAGAAAAGGACCAAUUGCCUCCUGCAGAACCUGACUUGGGGAUAACAGCUCCAGAAUUCAAGAUUGCCAAGAAAGAACCUCCCAUACCAGUGUUGAACGUUGUUGUCGUUGAAGCCCAAGGUCUGGAAGCCAAAGACCCCAAUGGUCAGUCAACCGAUCAGUUGU